CGCGUAGGCGGCUCAUAAAGGCUGUGGUGAAAGUUCGGGGCUCAACCUCGAAUCGGCCGUGGCGACUUGUGGGCUGGAGCACUGUAGAGGCGGGUGGAAUUCCGGGUGUAGCGGUGGAAUGCGUAGAGAUCCGGAAGAACACCAGUGGCGAAGGCGGCCCGCUGGGCAGUGGCUGACGCUGAGGCGCGACAGCGUGGGGAGCAAACA
RNAcentral lists this ribosomal RNA (207 nucleotides) under uncultured bacterium. RNAcentral's name for it is "partial 16S ribosomal RNA". It matches the Rfam family "Bacterial small subunit ribosomal RNA", at positions 568 to 774 of the family's 1533-position model. The record is from RNAcentral.